RNAcentral lists this ribosomal RNA (423 nucleotides) under Triticum aestivum (bread wheat). RNAcentral describes it as "partial small subunit ribosomal RNA". The record is from RNAcentral. Lineage: Eukaryota; Viridiplantae; Streptophyta; Magnoliopsida; Poales; Poaceae.
AUGCUUAAUACUAGAGAUUUGCUUACCAGGAAAAGCUUCCAUAUUGAAUCUACUAAAUGUGUGUUAUGUGAGGAUGAACCAAACGAACAUCUAACUCAUCUGUUCUUUAGCUAUGAUUUUAGUCAGAACUUUUGGAUGGUUAUUGGUUUUCGAUGGAACACAGAUUAUGAGCUUAUGGAGAUGCUCUUGGAAGGAAAGAGGCAUAACAAUGAUGUUUGCUUCAAGGAAUGCCUAAUAGCAGGAUGUUGUAGUAUAUGGAUGCACAGAAACAUCAUCAUCUUUGAUCACAAAACUAAGAGCAUACUAUACUAAAUCAGUACAUUCAAGGAGCAUUUUGAGAUGAUCAUCAAAAAGGCCAAACCACGCUUAAAAGAAGGAAUGCAAAGAUGGCUAGAUUAUUUGUUGACUAUUUACUUUUUGUAA